RNAcentral lists this unclassified non-coding RNA (680 nucleotides) under Hevea brasiliensis (rubber tree). Lineage: Eukaryota; Viridiplantae; Streptophyta; Magnoliopsida; Malpighiales; Euphorbiaceae. The record is from RNAcentral.
UAAUUUAAGCCCCAAGCGACCACUGUACAGAAAGGCAAAACGCAAGCCCCUCAAGAAGCUUUCUCAAAAGCAGAACAUGAGCCAUGAUGAGCCACUAAGAGAAGACAUCUAAACCUGUACAGGACAACUUUAUGUGCUCAAAGGUUCAUCAAAAACCACCAACGUGUUGCCUUGGAGUAUUCCCAUAUCUUCCUGAUGUCAUGUUAUUGGCAGCAGGUGCAUUGCUUACACCUGGGCAAUCUCUUGCCCAAUGUCCAUACUGAUGGCAUUUAUAACACUCACCACCACCACCACCACUGCUCAUCCCUGAAGUUGCCCUAUUGCCAAAACCACUUCCAUAUGCCUGGCUCUGACCACUCAUCAUGCUUGGACAGUUUGAAGCACUAUGACCUGUUCCACCACAACUAUUACAGCUCAUAUACAUGCCUGCAGAAGAGCCAGUCGGAGCAUUUUGCGUUCCACUAGGCUGAUUUCCAUAUUGGCCUUGCCGAUUUCCCUGCAGUCCACUUUCUCUGCUGAUACUGCCUGCAGUAGAGCCAGAAGGAGCAAACUGUGAGCCAAUAAGCUGAUUCCCAUAUGGACCUUGCCGAUUUCCCUGCAGUCCACUUUCUCUGCUGAUACUGCCUGCAGUAGAGCCAGAAGGAGCAAACUGUGAGCCAAUAAGCUGAUUCCCAUAUGGA